CCUACGGGCGGCAGCAGUGAGGAAUAUUGGUCAAUGGACGAGAGUCUGAACCAGCCAAGUAGCGUGAAGGAUGACUGCCCUAUGGGUUGUAAACUUCUUUUAUAUGGGAAUAAAAUGCUCUACGUGUGGGAUUUUGUAUGUACCAUAUGAAUAAGGAUCGGCUAACUCCGUGCCAGCAGCCGCGGUAAUACGGAGGGUCCGAGCGUUAUCCGGAUUUAUUGGGUUUAAAGGGUGCGUAGGUGGAUUGUUAAGUCAGUUGUGAAAGUUUGCGGCUCAACCCUAAAAUUGCAGUUGAAACUGGCAGUCUUGAGUACAGUAGAGGUGGGCGGAAUUCGUGGUGUAGCGGUGAAAUGCUUAGAUAUCACAAAGAACUCCGAUUGCGAAGGCAGCUCACUGGACUGCAACUGACACUGAGGCUCGAAAGUGUGGGUAGCAAACAGGAUUAGAUACCCGGGUAGUC
RNAcentral lists this ribosomal RNA (460 nucleotides) under uncultured bacterium. Its description in RNAcentral is "partial 16S ribosomal RNA". It matches the Rfam family "Bacterial small subunit ribosomal RNA", at positions 338 to 795 of the family's 1533-position model. The record is from RNAcentral.